AGCGAACGCUGGCGGCAGGCCUAACACAUGCAAGUCGAACGGACCCUUCGGGGUUAGUGGCGGACGGGUGAGUAACACGUGGGAACGUGCCUUUAGGUUCGGAAUAGCUCCUGGAAACGGGUGGUAAUGCCGAAUGUGCCCUUCGGGGGAAAGAUUUAUCGCCUUUAGAGCGGCCCGCGUCUGAUUAGCUAGUUGGUAAGGUAAUGGCUUACCAAGGCGACGAUCAGUAGCUGGUCUGAGAGGAUGAUCAGCCACACUGGGACUGAGACACGGCCCAGACUCCUACGGGAGGCAGCAGUGGGGAAUCUUGCGCAAUGGGCGAAAGCCUGACGCAGCCAUGCCGCGUGAAUGAUGAAGGUCUUAGGAUUGUAAAAUUCUUUCACCGGGGACGAUAAUGACGGUACCCGGAGAAGAAGCCCCGGCUAACUUCGUGCCAGCCGCCGCCGUAA
This 449-nucleotide ribosomal RNA is filed under the name uncultured bacterium. Its description in RNAcentral is "partial 16S ribosomal RNA". It matches the Rfam family "Bacterial small subunit ribosomal RNA", at positions 29 to 523 of the family's 1533-position model. The record is from RNAcentral.